AACAUCGCCUCUUGCUUCACAUAAGAGGUCCAGCCUGCCCAGUGAAAUUUUAACGGCCGCGGUACCCUGACCGUGCGAAGGUAGCAUAAUCACUCGUUCUCUAAAUAAGGACUUGUAUCAAUGGCAUCACGAGAGUCACACUGUCUCCUCUCUCCAAUCAGUGAACCUAAUCUCCCCGUGAAGAAGCGGGGUUACACCCAUAAGACGAGAAGACCCCAUGGAGCUUUAAACCUUAAAGCAAUUUAAAUAAAAUAUUUCCACAUAUACUUUAUUUAUGCAUGAAAGUUUUGGGUUGGGGUGACCGCGGAGCAAAAACUAACCUCCACAACGAAAAGAACUAAAUCUUUAUCUAAGAACUACUAUUCCAAGAAUCAACACACUGACGAAUACUGAUCCGAUAAUCGAUCAAUGAACCAAGUUACCCUGGGGAUAACAGCGCAAUCUACUUCGAGAGCUCAUAUCGACAAGUAGGCUUACGACCUCGAUGUUGGAUCAGGGUAUCCCAGUGGUGCAGCCGCUACUAAUGGUUCGUUUGUUCAACGAUUAAAACCC
This 552-nucleotide ribosomal RNA is filed under the name Chiromantis rufescens (African foam-nest treefrog). Its description in RNAcentral is "partial large subunit ribosomal RNA". It matches the Rfam family "Bacterial large subunit ribosomal RNA", at positions 1812 to 2596 of the family's 2925-position model. The record is from RNAcentral. Lineage: Eukaryota; Metazoa; Chordata; Amphibia; Anura; Rhacophoridae.